RNAcentral lists this ribosomal RNA (266 nucleotides) under uncultured bacterium. Its description in RNAcentral is "partial 16S ribosomal RNA". It matches the Rfam family "Bacterial small subunit ribosomal RNA", at positions 793 to 1055 of the family's 1533-position model. The record is from RNAcentral.
GUCCACGCCGUAAACGAUGGGCACUAGGUGCCGGGGGAGCGACCCGUCCGUUGCCGCAGCUAACGCGAUAAGUGCCCCGCCUGGGGAGGUACGGCCGCAAGGCUGAAACUCAAAGGAAUUGACGGGGGCCCGGCACAAGCGGUGGAGCAUGUGGUUUAAUUCGAAGCAACGCGAAGAACCUUACCUAGGUUUGACAUGCUGGUGAAAGCCUGACGAAAGUCGGGCCCUUCUUCGGAACACCAGCACAGGUGCUGCAUGGCUGUCGU